This is a non-coding RNA of Coturnix japonica (Japanese quail), 326 nucleotides long. NCBI's taxonomy places the organism in Eukaryota, Metazoa, Chordata, Aves, Galliformes, Phasianidae. The record is from RefSeq and is a predicted model, not a curated record.
CCAGGAGCUCAGCAUCAUUCCUGUCCCCAUUGCCUGGCAUGCUGGAGGAACACAAGGUCACAUUCAAGACCAUCCAAAACACAAGUGCCAAUUGAUGUACCUCAGUCUUCCUCAUCGUUGCCACAUACACUCCCUCAAGCACUUGUUGCUUUGAUUUUGCUACUCCACGAAGAACUGCAGAACCAACAGACUUAAGGAGUAGCCUAAAGAGACAUCUUAAAGGCUUCAGAAAGUGCUGCCCACUUAUAUUUACCUUCUGCUUCCAAAAAACAGCAUACAUCACAAAAGACAAAAUACAAUACAAUAAAGGCAGGCUUAGGUAAACA